CAGUCGCCGCGGUAAUGCGUAGGUGGCAAGCGUUGUCCGGAAUUAUUGGGCGUAAAGGGCUCGCAGGCGGUUUCUUAGGUCUGAUGUGAAAGCCCCCGGCUCAACCGGGGAGGGUCAUUGGAAACUGGGAAACUUGAGUGCAGAAGAGGAGAGUGGAAUUCCACGUGUAGCGGUGAAAUGCGUAGAGAUGUGGAGGAACACCAGUGGCGAAGGCGACUCUCUGGUCUGUAACUGACGCUGAGGAGCGAAAGCGUGGGGAGCGAACAGGAUUAGAUACCCGAGUAGUCCCUGUCUCUUAUAC
Molecule: ribosomal RNA, 301 nt
Filed under: uncultured bacterium
Lineage: Bacteria
Description: partial 16S ribosomal RNA
Rfam family: Bacterial small subunit ribosomal RNA
Source: RNAcentral